AACGAACGCUGGCGGCAUGCCUAACACAUGCAAGUCGAACGAGACCUUCGGGUCUAGUGGCGCACGGGGGCGUAACGCGUGGGGACCUGCCCUUAGGUACCGAAUACCUCCCCGAAAGGGAUGCUAAUACCGGUUAAUGUCUUCGGACCAAAGAUUUAUCGCCUUUGGAUGGGGCCGCGUUGGAUUCGCUGGUUGGUAGGGUACAAGCCUACCAAGGCGACGAUGCAUAGCUGGUCGGAGAGGAUGACCAGCCACACUGGGGCUGCGACACGGCCCAGACUCGUACGGGAGGCAGCAGUGGGGAAUAUUAGACAAGGGGCGAAAGCGUGAUCCAGCAAUGCCGGGUGAGUGAUGAAGGCGUUAGUGUUGUAAUGCUCUUUUACCCGAGAUGAUAAUGACAGUACCGGGAGAAUAAGCACCGGCUAACUCCGUG
This 433-nucleotide ribosomal RNA is filed under the name uncultured bacterium. Its description in RNAcentral is "partial 16S ribosomal RNA". It matches the Rfam family "Bacterial small subunit ribosomal RNA", at positions 29 to 507 of the family's 1533-position model. The record is from RNAcentral.